Molecule: ribosomal RNA, 253 nt
Filed under: uncultured bacterium
Lineage: Bacteria
Description: partial 16S ribosomal RNA
Rfam family: Bacterial small subunit ribosomal RNA
Source: RNAcentral
UACGUAGGGUGCGAGCGUUAAUCGGAAUUACUGGGCGUAAAGCGUGCGCAGGCGGUUUUGUAAGCCAGAUGUGAAAUCCCCGGGCUUAACCUGGGAAUGGCAUUUGGGACUGCAAGGCUGGAGUGCGGCAGAGGAGACUGGAAUUCCUGGUGUAGCAGUGAAAUGCGUAGAUAUCAGGAGGAACACCCGUGGCGAAGGCGGCUUUCUAGGAUAUACCUGACACUGAGAAGCGACAGCUAGGGGAGCAAACAGG